Long non-coding RNA from Xenopus tropicalis (tropical clawed frog), 768 nucleotides. RefSeq lists it as uncharacterized. The transcript has 6 exons. NCBI's taxonomy places the organism in Eukaryota, Metazoa, Chordata, Amphibia, Anura, Pipidae. The record is from RefSeq and is a predicted model, not a curated record.
AGGUACCCAAAGGGGGCCACCUAAAGCUGCAGCCCUAGGCAUGGGCCCUCAGGCAUUAUAAUGUCCAUAUAUUGAUAUAUGACUGCAGUAGCAGUGGAAAUGCAUUGCUGGGCUAAUACUACUAUACAUUCUAAAAUAAAAGCUGACAUUAGUUCCAUGGGAUACACAAGUUAAUCUGGAUAUAGAGCAGCUGUUUCUUUCUAUUUCCAGUUGGUCUGAUUCUUUUGGUGCAACUGACCUGCAGCAACUUAGACUCCAUUAACAGGCAUGUCUGUGCUCGGAACAACAGAAGUAAGGCAGCAGCACCAUGUACAUCUAUAUGGUACAAGGAACAUGUGUUGAUGAGAUGAGAUUUUUCACGCAACUGACUGCUGGAAAGGUUAGCUGUGAUGCAUAGCCCCAGGCUUGGCACAUGCACAGUAGAGUAAAAAAGCUGGCUUGCACUUGCACCCUAGAUGAAAAGAUGGAAAAAACAGAAAAAAGAUCAUUCAGUGGAGCUUCCUUAAAAGGCCAGAGCAGUUUUCUGCUAACAGAUGCUCCAGAAAUACAGAACAUGCAGAGGGCACAGAGUUCCAUUGGUUCUCCAAGUAUCCCAGAGCUGCCAAUGGUUGGCAGGUUGUUAAAGUUUGCCUGGGAGCAAUAAAAAAAGUAAUUUUAUAGUAAUUUUAGCAACUUAUCUGCAAGUGUUAUGUGUAGCAAUAGUAUUGGAAAAGCUCCUGUUCAGAAUGUUGGCCAUUGAAAUGUGAGAAAUAAAUAUAUUUCAAGGUA